This 72-nucleotide transfer RNA is filed under the name Bacillus licheniformis. RNAcentral's name for it is "tRNA-Glu". It matches the Rfam family "tRNA". Rfam says of the family: Transfer RNA (tRNA) molecules are approximately 80 nucleotides in length. Lineage: Bacteria; Bacillati; Bacillota; Bacilli; Caryophanales; Bacillaceae. The record is from RNAcentral.
GGCCCGUUGUUCAAGUGGUUAAGACACCGCCCUUUCACGGCGGUAACACGGGUUCGAAUCCCGUACGGGUCA